Non-coding RNA from Phrynosoma platyrhinos (Desert horned lizard), 72 nucleotides. The record is from the annotation of a GenBank genome assembly. Lineage: Eukaryota; Metazoa; Chordata; Lepidosauria; Squamata; Phrynosomatidae.
GCCAGUGUGGUUUAGUGGAUUGAGUGUUGGACUGCGAUUCUGGGAAGCAGGGUUUAAAUCCCAGCUCAGUCA